GAUGAACGCUGGCGGCGUGCCUAAUACAUGCAAGUCGAGCGAACAGACGAGGAGCUUGCUCCUCUGACGUUAGCGGCGGACGGGUGAGUAACACGUGGAUAACCUACCUAUAAGACUGGGAUAACUUCGGGAAACCGGAGCUAAUACCGGAUAAUAUAUUGAACCGCAUGGUUACAUAGUGAAAGACGGUUUUGCUGUCACUUAUAGAUGGAUCCGCGCCGCAUUAGCUAGUUGGUAAGGUAACGGCUUACCAAGGCCACGAUGCGUAGCCGACCUGAGAGAGGAUCAGUCGCCGAUGUGAGAGGGAGACGGGCCACACUCGUACGGAGGGCAGCAGUAGAGACUCUUCCGCAGUGGGAGAAGGGCAGACGGAGCAGCGCCGCAUGAGUGAUGAAGGUCUUCGGAUGGGAAAACUCUAUUAUUAGGGAAGAACAAGUGUGUAAGGAACUAUGCAUGGUGUGACGAUACCAAAACAGAAAGCCAGGUCAAACCGCG
RNAcentral lists this ribosomal RNA (495 nucleotides) under uncultured bacterium. RNAcentral's name for it is "partial 16S ribosomal RNA". It matches the Rfam family "Bacterial small subunit ribosomal RNA", at positions 28 to 505 of the family's 1533-position model. The record is from RNAcentral.